This 477-nucleotide ribosomal RNA is filed under the name uncultured bacterium. Its description in RNAcentral is "partial 16S ribosomal RNA". It matches the Rfam family "Bacterial small subunit ribosomal RNA", at positions 28 to 507 of the family's 1533-position model. The record is from RNAcentral.
GACGAACGCUGGCGGCGUGCUUAACACAUGCAAGUCGAACGGUGAAGCGCCGUCCUUUUUGGUUGGUGUGGAGGAGAGGCGGACGGGUAAGUAACACGUGAGUAACCUGCCCCCUUCUUCUGGAUAACCGCAUGAAAGUGUGGCUAAUACAGGAUAUUCUGGUUCUGUGGCAGGGUGGGUCUGGGAAAGCUGUUGUUUCGGUGGGGGCUGGUCUCGCGGCCGAUCAGCUGGUUGGUGGGGUGAUGGCCUACCAAGGCUGGGACGGGUGGCCGGCCUGAGUGGGAGUGCGACACGGCCGAGACUCCGACGGGGGGCAGCAGCGGAGAGGAUGGAGCAGUGGGGGAAAGUCUGAUGCAGCGACGACGCGUGAGGGAUGGCGGCCUGCGGGUGGUGAACCUCUUUCGGUAGUGAAGCAGGUCUGCCUCGUUUGUGGGUGGGUUGACGGUAGCUGGAUAAGAAGCGCCGGCUAACUACGUG